GGGUGACUAGUCUAGUGGUCAGGACGCUUCGUUGUGGUUCGAGUUUAAACCUCGAUAAGAACGACCGAAGAAACCCCGGUUCGAUUCCGGGGUCGCCCA
Molecule: non-coding RNA, 99 nt
Organism: Podospora fimiseda
Lineage: Eukaryota; Fungi; Ascomycota; Sordariomycetes; Sordariales; Podosporaceae
Source: the annotation of a GenBank genome assembly